This 443-nucleotide ribosomal RNA is filed under the name uncultured bacterium. Its description in RNAcentral is "partial 16S ribosomal RNA". It matches the Rfam family "Bacterial small subunit ribosomal RNA", at positions 338 to 795 of the family's 1533-position model. The record is from RNAcentral.
CCUACGGGAGGCUGCAGUGGGGACUAUUGGGCAAUGGGCGCAAGCCUGACCCAGCAACGCCGUGUGAAGGAAGAAGGCUUUCGGGUUGUAAACUUCUUUUCUCAGGGACGAAGCAAGUGACGGUACCUGCGGAAUAAGCCACGGCUAACUACGUGCCAGCAGCCGCGGUAAUACGUAGGUGGCAAGCGUUAUCCGGAUUUACUGGGUGUAAAGGGCGUGUAGGCGGGAAAGCAAGUCAGAUGUGAAAACCAUGGGCUCAACCGGUGGACUGCAUUGGAAACUGUUUUUCUUGAGUACUGGAGAGGCAGACGGAAUUCCUAGUGUAGCGGUGAAAUGCGUAGAUAUUAGGAGGAACACCAGUGGCGAAGGCGGUCUGCUGGACAGCAACUGACGCUGAGGCGCGAAAGCGUGGGGAGCAAACAGGAUUAGAUACCCUUGUAGUC